Molecule: ribosomal RNA, 1337 nt
Filed under: uncultured bacterium
Lineage: Bacteria
Description: partial 16S ribosomal RNA
Rfam family: Bacterial small subunit ribosomal RNA
Source: RNAcentral
GAUGAACGCUGGCGGCGUGCUUAACACAUGCAAGUCGAACGGAAAGGCCUCUGCUUGCAGGGGUACUCGAGUGGCGAACGGGUGAGUAACACGUGGGUGAUCUGCCCUGCACUUCGGGAUAAGCCUGGGAAACUGGGUCUAAUACCGGAUGGGACCACAUUUUGGAUGGUGUGGUGGAAAGUUUUUCGGUGUGGGAUGAGCUCGCGGCCUAUCAGCUUGUUGGUGGGGUAAUGGCCUACCAAGGCGUCGACGGGUAGCCGGCCUGAGAGGGUGUACGGCCACAUUGGGACUGAGAUACGGCCCAGACUCCUACGGGAGGCAGCAGUGGGGAAUAUUGCACAAUGGGCGCAAGCCUGAUGCAGCGACGCCGCGUGGGGGAUGACGGCCUUCGGGUUGUAAACUCCUUUCGCUAGGGACGGAGCGUUUUUGUGACGGUACCUGGAGAAGAAGCACCGGCUAACUACGUGCCAGCAGCCGCGGUAAUACGUAGGGUGCGAGCGUUGUCCGGAAUUACUGGGCGUAAAGAGCUCGUAGGUGGUUUGUCGCGUCGUUUGUGUAAGCCCGCAGCUUAACUGCGGGACUGCAGGCGAUACGGGCAUAACUUGAGUGCUGUAGGGGAGACUGGAAUUCCUGGUGUAGCGGUGGAAUGCGCAGAUAUCAGGAGGAACACCGAUGGCGAAGGCAGGUCUCUGGGCAGUAACUGACGCUGAUGCUCGAAGGUGCGGGUAUCGAACAGGAUUAGAUACCCUGGUAGUCCGCACAGUAAACGAUGGAUGCUCGCUGUUGGCUUUUAUAGUCAGUGGCUUAGCGAAAGCGUUAAGCAUCCCACCUGGGGAGUACGCCGGCAACGGUGAAACUCAAAGGAAUUGACGGGGGCCCGCACAAGCGGAGGAACAUGUGGUUUAAUUCGAUGAUACGCGUGGAACCUUACCCGGGCUUGAACUGCAGGAGAACGAUUCAGAGAUGAUGAGGUCCUUCGGGACUCCUGUGGAGGUGCUGCAUGGUUGUCGUCAGCUCGUGCCGUGAGGUGUCGGCUUAAGUGCCAUAACGAGCGCAACCCCUUUUCUUAGUUGCCAUCGGGUGAUGCCGGGCACUCUGAGGAUACUGCCACCGUAAGGUGUGAGGAAGGUGGGGAUGACGUCAAAUCAGCACGGCCCUUACGUCCGGGGCUACACACGUGUUACAAUGGGGCAUACAGAGUGUUGGUUGCGUGUAAAUGUAAUCUAAUCUUUAAAGUGCUUCUCAGUUCGGACUGGGGUCUGCAACCCGACCCCACGAAGCUGGAUUCGCUAGUAAUCGCGCAUCAGCCAUGGCGCGGUGAAUACGUUCCCGGGCCU